CCUACGGGUGGCAGCAGUGGGGAAUAUUGGGCAAUGGGCGCAAGCCUGACCCAGCAACGCCGCGUGAAGGAAGAAGGCUUUCGGGUUGUAAACUUCUUUUCUCAGGGACGAAGACAGUGACGGUCCCUGAGUCCUAAGCCUCGGCUAACUACGUGCCAGCAGUCGCGGUAAUACGUAGGUGGCAAGCGUUCUCCGGAUUUAUUGGGUGUAAAGGGCGUGUAGGCGGGAGCGUAAGUCAGAUGUGAAAAGUCAGAGCUCAACCCUGAGCCUGCAUUUGAUACUGUGGUUCUUGAGUGCUGUUGAGGCAAUCGGAAUUCCGGGUGUAGCGGUGAAAUGCGUAGAGAUACGAAAGAACACCAGUGGCGAAGGCAGAUUGCUAAACAGUAACUGACGCUGAGGCGCGAAAGCGUGGGGAGCAAACAGGAUUAGAUACCCUUGUAGUC
This 443-nucleotide ribosomal RNA is filed under the name uncultured bacterium. Its description in RNAcentral is "partial 16S ribosomal RNA". It matches the Rfam family "Bacterial small subunit ribosomal RNA", at positions 338 to 795 of the family's 1533-position model. The record is from RNAcentral.